GCUCUGCAUCGCCGGGACGAGAUUCGCGAUGAGCAUUUUGUUGGCGGUGGACAAGACUUCGUUGCCGACUAGAAUGCGUAUGAUGUCAGUGGCAGGUACGUAGGGUUGGACGUUGAAUUUGAUCCAUUCUUCUGCGAAAUUUGGCUUUACUAAGCGGGGGAUUUGAUCAUUGGGGACUGUGAUGGUUACUGAGAUGCGUGUAUGAGCGAAAGCUCUUAAGAUGUCCGGAUUGGCAUCGAACAGUCUGAUGCGGUCGAUAAUGGUGGAAUCCAAGAGGAAUUCCGCAACCUUAGACGGCAGAGGGAGAUUGUCAGCCAACGUUCCAUAAUUGACUCCGAUGGAUCCACCUUUAGCUGAUGAACAAAUGAAAAGGGAGAAGAAGAAGAAGCAAAGUCGCAGCAAUUGAAGUGUAAGCACGAAGAAGGCGCGAGAGAGCGAAAGAGGAAGCCAUUGGUGAAGAAAGCGAGAAGAGUGAAUUGAGGGUGGCAUUGGCCAUUGCUGAAGAAGUAACAUUUUGAUGCUUUGCUUUGCGAUUGGGGAGAAUCGUAUGUUCUUGGUAAUACCCUUCAAGCUUGUUCUUCUUAGAGAGCUUUAUUUGCUUUUGAAUCUGUUCUCUAUUAAUUUCUCUUUUUUUUUUCCUUCCCCUUUUAGUAAUAAAUGACAAAAUCUAUGCUUGUUUUGAUGUGUUCAAGUAUAAUUAAUAUUAGGGUUUUCUUUAAAAA
This is a non-coding RNA of Cucurbita pepo subsp. pepo (vegetable marrow), 722 nucleotides long. Lineage: Eukaryota; Viridiplantae; Streptophyta; Magnoliopsida; Cucurbitales; Cucurbitaceae. The record is from RefSeq and is a predicted model, not a curated record.